Oryzias latipes (Japanese medaka) is the source of this 1139-nucleotide long non-coding RNA. RefSeq lists it as uncharacterized. Lineage: Eukaryota; Metazoa; Chordata; Actinopteri; Beloniformes; Adrianichthyidae. The record is from RefSeq and is a predicted model, not a curated record.
UGUUGAAGAUCUCUGGAUUCGUCCUCUCUGAUGACACGUCGGUCCGGAUUCUCUGCCUGGAAACUCCAUCGGGCUGGUCGAAGUCAGAAGGCGGAACCGGGCCUGCUGAGGGGUCCAUUAGGACAUGUGGAAGUUUGGCAACAAGUGUCUUGUUAUGGCUCGCAGCAGCAGUCACUGACUGCAAGGACCAUAUUGUUUCCGCAGUUGGAAAGAUUUUGGUGCCUUUUAGCGAAAAUCUGCCCCCCUCCGCAUACUUGAAAAGUCACCAAAAUGUGAAGAAACCUAGGAUAAAUUGAAAAUGAAUUCUCGGACAAAGUCAAUAUCACCCCCCCGAAGACGAUGACAUCACGGUGUGAACUUUACUACAAGCUAAUAAUGGGAGGAGGUCAGAGCCACGCAGAGAACGCUAUGCAAAGACGUGAAAAUGCCAAAAAAGACCCAGAGACUAACAAACCUGGAAGCUCACCAUCUAAAGACACUAUAGGAGAGCUGCCCCAGUGCCGGAUGGGAAAUAAAAAAGUGGACAACAUGUCUUUCAUGAUCUCAUGCACCAACUGGUACUGAGCCUGUCCAGAAGAGACAGAACAGGACGAAAAAACCCAGAAGGAUGUCCAAUGUUUCUUCAAUCGUAUCAAGAGUUAAUUCUUUUAAAGUAAAAUAUGCAACAAUGGAAGCAGAUGAUGGUGUUGUUCACCUUUUGGCAUUUCUCUUCAGGGGUCACCACAGCGAAUCAGCACUCUGAACAUUUGGUUUUGGUAGACGUUCUUAUGCCAGAUGUCCGUCCUCCUGGCACAACCCUGUAUUUUAUCCAGGCUGUGGACACAGGUACACCCAGAGUUAUUGCCCCUACCCGGGGUUAGGGCCCCUUAUGGCUACAUAGAGGCAGUAGUGUGAAGGGUCUUGCCCAAGGACCCACACUGGAUGAAGGUCAUCGCACCUCCUUUUAGACUUGUUGUAUGCUUUUUUUUCUUUAUGCUGUAUGUAAAACUACUGUACACUAGUAAAAAAAAUGUUUCCAUCCAUUUUUCUAUGAAACCUUGGACAGAUCCAUGUCCAGUCAGCAGAAACACAGUUGAGAUGCUGAAGCUUGUUCGGUUACUCAUUAAAGUGAGUCAGCUGUUGAGUUAUAUAAAAGGUAA